This 498-nucleotide ribosomal RNA is filed under the name uncultured Desulfobulbus sp. Its description in RNAcentral is "bacterial SSU rRNA". It matches the Rfam family "Bacterial small subunit ribosomal RNA", at positions 889 to 1382 of the family's 1533-position model. Lineage: Bacteria; Pseudomonadati; Thermodesulfobacteriota; Desulfobulbia; Desulfobulbales; Desulfobulbaceae. The record is from RNAcentral.
CCCGCUCAGAACUUAAAUGAAUUGACGGGGCCGGCACAAGCGGUGGAGUAUGUGGUUUAAUUCGAUGCAACGCGAAGAACCUUACCUGGUCUUGACAUCCCGGAGACCCUUAGGAAACUAGGGGGUGCUUCCAUCUGGAAGAAUCUGGAGACAGGUGCUGCAUGGCUGUCGUCAGCUCGUGUCGUGAGAUGUUGGGUUAAGUCCCGCAACGAGCGCAACCCUUGCCUUUAGUUGCCAGCAGUUCGGCUGGGCACUCUAAAGGGACUGCCGGUGUUAAACCGGAGGAAGGUGGGGAUGACGUCAAGUCCUCAUGGCCUUUAUGACCAGGGCUACACACGUACUACAAUGGCCGAUACAAAGGGCAGCGACACUGCGAGGUGAAGCCAAUCCCGUAAAAUCGGUCUCAGUCCGGAUUGGAGUCUGCAACUCGACUCCAUGAAGUUGGAAUCGCUAGUAAUCGUGGAUCAGCAUGCCACGGUGAAUACGUUCCCGGGCCUU